GGCUUAAGGGUGUAACCUCAGAAUGGGGCCCUGAAUCAGCUGUGGGCGAGCUCCUAGAGUAUCUUAAUUCCUGCUUCAUCUCUUUCCAUUUUGCAGUUGGGCAAACUGCGGCUCAGAAAGAUAAAGAACUUCUCCGGAGCGAAAAAGCUGCUAAGAAUGUAUCCAAAACUCCGCACGGUAAGGACUGAGGACGGUCAAAAGACCACCAAGAGUUAAAACCAUGAAGCUGCGUAGUACCGCGGAGGCUAGAGAGACCCGGCCCACCCCUUCCAACCUAUGCCCCUCCUCUUAACUUCCGGGCGGGGCAUGACUUCCGGUUCCCGCGCGGCGCUCCAAAGCUCGGGGAGUGGUGGUCUCCCUUUCCUGGAGUCAUUUGUGGGAGUUAGGGUCUUAUCCUGAUCUUUCCUCGUCCCCCGCUCCCCCGUCCUCCGAGGUGGCAGCUGCGUAGGUGAACGUUCCCCCUGUCCCCUUCCUUCUCCUUCCUAACCCGAGUACGCUUGCUCGCGGCCACAGUGGCUGCCUGCCCCAGGAGCGGGGAGUCCCUGCCUUUGGGGUAGGGAAAUGACUGAAAUGUGGGACCUGCGGGCUCCUCGGGCUGACUUGGACCUCACUGCAGCUCUGGAGGUGGACCUCGUCCUGGGACCCUAGAAGCCCAUUUCCGCACUCGGGCUAGGCCUUCGGAGCCGCGGCAGCAUAGUGGGAGGAGUCGGGCUCAGCUCCCCCCCACCACAACCGGGAUUAUUUUUAUCGGUUGAGUCAUCGCACUACCUUUCAUCCUUGUGGCUUUGGGCAAGUCCCCGCCCUCCGAGCCUCACUUUGCUUAUCUGUGAAUGGAAAUAACAGUGCCUACCCCAUGGGCUAUCGGGAGGAUCAGUUGUGAGGGAAUGCAGUGUGGGGUGUCUGGCCGGCAGAAUUCCACAAAUGGUAGCAGCGGUUGAUGUCACUGGAGGUUCCUGGGGCAGUAAUUUAUCAAGAGUUUAUGAUCCUGAACUAAGGAUCAUACGGAGGAGGAUCUGUGUAUAACGUUCGGCACAAUGUUAGAUAGGAAGUAAGGGCGCAGUGCACUGGAGUUAUUUUUUCUUUUUUUUUUUUUUGAGACGGAGUCUCGCUCUGUCGCCCAGGCCGGAGUUGCAGUGCCGCGUUGUCGCCUCACUGCAACCUUCUCUGCCACAUGGGUUCAAGCGAUUCUCCUGCCUCAGCCACUCGAGUAACUGGGAUUACAGUCGCACAUCACCACGCCUGGCUAAUGUUUUGCAUUUUUAAUAGAGACGGUUUCACCAUGUUGGCCAGCCUGGUCUUGAACUCCUGAUCUCAGGUGAUCCACCCGCCUCGGCCUUCCAAAGUGCUAGAAGUAUAGGCAUGAGCCACUGUGCCUGGCCUGGAGUUAUUUUUUCUCACUGGGUUUUUGAGCAAAGAAAAGGAGUUAUUAACUGGUGAGGAUAAAUUUGUGUUUGGUAAGUCGUCUUCUGAAGCUGACAGGAUUUAUAAGCCGGGUAAAUUGUGGUGCUGGUUCAUCUUUGAGAGCCAGCCUUAAGAAUUGGCCCACUGACUGCUGGGCGUGGUGGCUCACAUCUGUAAUCCCAGCACUUUGGGAGGCCGAAGCGGGUGGAUCACCCGAAGUCAGGAGUUCGAGACCAGCCUGGUCAACAUGGUGAAACCCCAUCUCUACUAAAAACAUAAAAAUUAGCCAGGUAUGGUGGUGGGCACCUGUAAUCCCAGUUACUCGGGAGGCUGAGGCAGAGAAUUGCUUGAACCCAGAAGGAGGAAAGGUUGCAGUGAACCGAGAUCACACUACUGCACUCCAGCCUGAGCGACAGAGUGAGACUUGUCUCAAAAAAAAAAAAAAGGAAAGAAAAAGGCCCACUGACAGUCUGUUCCUAGAAACCUGGGUUGUAAAGACGUUGGGUGCUGGGAGCUAGAAGAAGUAAUAAAAGGGUGUUUUCCUAAGUGGGUUAGGGGUUUUCACUCAGAAAGGUUUUUGGGCAGGAGGGGAAAGCCUGAGAAGUUUUCUUCCUCUUGAGUUGUUAUAAAAGUAAUACAUGUGUGUAGUUAGAAAACAAUGCAGAAAGAUGUAAAAUGAAAAGUGUUUCCCCCUUCUACUGUUUCUGCCCUUCAGAAGUAAAUACAAUUAAUUUCUUUGAUAACUUUCUAUCUAUUAUUUGGAUAUAUCAGGUUUUAUUUAUUUGUAUCUGUAUUUAUGUAUUUUUAAUUUCCUCAGAUCGGGGGUCAUACUACACAUCGAUCGGGACCUUAGUCAUGUUGUGAUAUGGACAGCUUUCUUACCAGUACUCAUAAGCCUGCUUCAUUUUUUACGUGGCGGCACCACUGAGUGGUUGACGGUACUUCAGUCAUUUCCCUGUUGAUGGUCACUUAGGUUGUUCCCAAGAUUUUGCUUUCCCACAGUGUUUCACCCAACCUUUCUUGGACGAAAUAUUUUAGUCCAACUCACCCUAAGUGAUUCUGCUUUUCCCUAUUCACCACCCUAGGUUAGUAACAGCUUACUUUGGGGGAUGAGCACACCUUAUUAACUGAGCAAAAACCAAGAUAAUGUGAGAAGAAUUGGUGUACUCCCAAGAAUAUCCAAGGUGCUGGGUCUAGAAUCAAUUAAAGUCUCCUAAGAAAUGGGUCAGGGAACCUUUAGAGAAGGGAUGACUAGGUGCUGGGUGCACGGCAGCUAGUCAGCGUUAGUGAUUGUUGGCUUCUGUCAAUUGUUGCUCAGGAAACAGAUUUGAGAGAUUCUCUGAGGUGGGAAGGAUUUUAAAUGUCAGCUCUCCUGCUAUGUAUUAUAUGUCUGGAAGGGAUUAGUUCUUUGAGGGAAGAGAGUAUUAAAGAAAACAAUGGGCCGGGCACGGUGGCUCACACCUGUAAUCCCAGCACUUUGGGAGGCCGAGGCAAGGGCGGUGGAUCAUGAGGUCAGGAGAUCGAGACCAUCCUGGCUAACAUGGUGAAACCUCAUUUCUACUAAAAAUACAAAAAAAAAUUAGCUGGGCCUGGUGGCACGUGCCGUAGUCCCAGCUACUCAGGAGGCUGAGGCAGGAGGAUUGCUUGAACCUGGGAGGCAGAGGUUGCAGUGAGCCGAGAUUGUGCCUGGGCAACAGAGCAAGACUCCGUCUCAAAAAAAAAAAAAAAAAAAAGAAAAUGAUGAUCCUUGAAAAGUGACUGCAUCAUGGGGCUGUAUCCUAAUGUGAGAAUUAAUUUAGUCAUUUCUGUUAUUUGAACUCUCUUGUUUUAAAGUUAAUUAACAUAGGAUGUGUUUUCCUGUAAAUAACUCCUCUUUUGAACUGGGGCCCUAGCCCAAAUGAAGCAAAGGCUUUUUUUCUGGCAUUUUACAGGUAUUUAAUUUGCCUCCCGCCCCGCCGCCCCCCACGGCUAUAGCUGGUUUGAUAAUCCUGGAGCUCUCAAAUAUCCAAAGAGUUGGAAGUGUACUCUAUUAGGAUUUUGACAAGUCCCAUACACUGAUCAGAGGUGCUUCAUUCUUGAUCUUAACCUGGGUUCUUUUUUUUUUUUUUUUGGAGACAAGGACUCUGUUGCCCAGGCUGGAGUGCAGUGGCGUGAUCACAGCUCACUGCAGCCUCUACCUCCCAGUAGCUGGGACUACAGCCAUGUGCCACCACACCCAGAUAAUUUUUUUUUUGUAGAGACAGGGUUUUGCCAUGUUACCCAGGCUGGUCUCGAAUUCCUGGGCUCAAGUGAGCCACCUUUUUUUUUUUUUUUUUUGAGAUGGAGUGAUUACAGGCGUGAGCUACUUCACCUGGCUUUCUUUUUCUUUUUCUUUUUUUUAAGAGCUCUCGCUGUGUUGCUCAGGCUGGAGUGCAGUGGCUAUUCACAGGUGCAAUCAUAGUGCACUGCUCCUUUGAAGUACUUGUUAAUGUUUGCUAUUCUUUAAUCAUGAUGAAAGAGAUGGAGGGAGGUGGAAAGUCAGUAGAUUAGAUAUAAAUGAACUGACCUUAUUCUCCUCUUUUAGCUCCUCUUCAUAAAUUGCUUUGUAGACAUAACAAAUGUUAUAUAAAAAUAGUUGGAGGGGCU
This 4026-nucleotide long non-coding RNA is filed under the name Homo sapiens (human). RNAcentral's name for it is "non-protein coding lnc-CELA3A-5:5". The record is from RNAcentral. Lineage: Eukaryota; Metazoa; Chordata; Mammalia; Primates; Hominidae.